AGAACGAACGCUGGCGGCAUGCCUAAUACAUGCAAGUCGAACGAAGGCUUCGGCCUUAGUGGCGCACGGGUGCGUAACGCGUGGGAAUCUGCCCCUUGGUUCGGAAUAACAGUUGGAAACGACUGCUAAUACCGGAUGAUGACGAAAGUCCAAAGAUUUAUCGCCAAGGGAUGAGCCCGCGUAGGAUUAGCUAGUUGGUGAGGUAAAGGCUCACCAAGGCGACGAUCCUUAGCUGGUCUGAGAGGAUGAUCAGCCACACUGGAACUGAGACACGGUCCAGACCUCCGUAACGGGAGGCAG
This 300-nucleotide ribosomal RNA is filed under the name uncultured soil bacterium. RNAcentral describes it as "bacterial SSU rRNA". It matches the Rfam family "Bacterial small subunit ribosomal RNA", at positions 26 to 351 of the family's 1533-position model. The record is from RNAcentral.